RNAcentral lists this ribosomal RNA (253 nucleotides) under uncultured bacterium. RNAcentral describes it as "partial 16S ribosomal RNA". It matches the Rfam family "Bacterial small subunit ribosomal RNA", at positions 524 to 776 of the family's 1533-position model. The record is from RNAcentral.
UACGUAGGGUGCAAGCGUUGUCCGGAAUUAUUGGGCGUAAAGAGCUCGUAGGCGGUCUGUCGCGUCGGCUGUGAAAACCCGGGGCUCAACCCCGGGCCUGCAGUCGAUACGGGCAGACUAGAGUGUGGUAGGGGAGACUGGAAUUCCUGGUGUAGCGGUGAAAUGCGCAGAUAUCAGGAGGAACACCGGUGGUGUAGACGGCUUUCUGGACCGUAACUGACGCUGAGACACGAAAGCGUGGGUAGCAAACAGG